This is a long non-coding RNA of Leopardus geoffroyi (Geoffroy's cat), 5373 nucleotides long. RefSeq lists it as uncharacterized. The record is from RefSeq and is a predicted model, not a curated record. Lineage: Eukaryota; Metazoa; Chordata; Mammalia; Carnivora; Felidae. The transcript has 3 exons.
GCAUUGUCAUCCUUCUACGCCAGGCUCCAGGCUUAUAAGAAGCUUAUCAACUCCAACCUCUCCCCUCCCUCCUGCCCCCAGCGAAAUAACGUCCUCUUUCUCUGGAGUCCCUCCACGGCUCCAAGGAUUUGACUUCCCAGCCAGCCCAGGCCUGGGAACUCCACUUUCCUGGAGCCAGAAUCUUGCUAGCCGGGGUGAAGACCUCCACCCACCACCCGAUAGGCCACAAGAUGUCUAUUGCCCUCCAGAGCCCGCUUCCAGGGGCAAAUUCCAGCCCAUCCCAGCUCUGAAACGUGCCAAAGCCUGUCCCUUGCAGCUUCUCCCUGGGCACACAAUGAGGAAACAGACGCUGGGGAAGGUUUGGUCAUCUGACGCUUUCUCCCAGACGUGAAGUCAGGUCUGGCGGAUUCCAGAGCUCUGGAUCUUUCCAUAUCUGAUGCUCAGCUGACCUGCUCUUCAUACUCUGACCUGUGGCCUCACGGUAUAAGUGAGGGACGGUGCCUGGUUUGAAGCCACAAGCAGGGGUCAUGCUGGUUGUAUGGCAGGGACAUUCCCAAAUGUCACAGCCCCAGAACGAGAUCCAGGGAUGAGAGGCGGGCUGGCUGGGAAUGCGUCGGAGACUGGCCACCUCGGGGUGGAGGCUGCAGGGGGGUGGACUAGGGGGGUGCAGGGAGAGAAGCCCCCACCCACUCACCGCUCAAGGCUCCAGGUGUCCACCUUUCCCAGGGGUCUGGCUUGAAGGUCCCAGGGUGGGGAAGAGAAUCUGGGUUUCCAUCCCAAUUCCUAUGCUAACUGAAGUCUGACCUUGAGCAGAGUAACUUCGGAGCCUUCCUUGUCUUAUCAGUGCAACAGCUUCUAACGCCUGCCCCAGAGGCUGCUGGGAAGGUCAAAGUGAGCUAACGCACGCCACGUUUGGAGCACUGGUGCUUGGCACCCCCAGGCUGCUCGUUCUGCAGAACAGACCUUUGCAGGUGAUCACACGGGGGGGGGGGCGAGGAUCACCCCACCCAUUUCCUGCCUCUCAGAGAUGUCCCACAUCGGAGCCUUCCACAUGCAGCUUCCUCACGGCCACUGCAAGCUGGCUCAAGAACUGAGUCUUGCCUCGGGAUGCCUCGGAAAUGCGGGGGCUGCGGGACGUUCUGCACAAUGUCAGGAACUCCUGCACAUCCCUCUCCCUCCCAAAUCCAGGUGGGGAGGUGCUAAGCCUGGGGCUGCCUGGAAAGGGAAGGUUUGGGAAUACCAUGCCAAGGGCACAGGAAGAGGCUGCCAUGCAUGACCCUGCGGGAGCCCCUGCCUUCCAGAAACGUCCGGGGAGCACAUGCCGUGGCAGGUGUUCGCGGGCACUUUCUGAAUAAUGCCUGAUAAAGACCAGGGGACCCAGGGAUGCUCCCUUCUCUCCUCCCGCCUCCGGGGGCCGAGCAGGGCAUGCCUGCUCCCACCCCAUCCAGCCAGGGCAGUAGUGGCCCAGCCCCGCAGGCCCUCCCUUCUGGCUUCCCUUCUGCCUCCCACAAAUGAGAUGCUAAUUUAUGCCCCUCCACUGUCUCCUGGCAGAUGCCUGGCCCAGCUCAGCCCCAGAGCUGCCUGCAUGCCAAGUGCUUCAUUAGCCAGGAAAGAAGGCUCUCGCCCUCCUUAAUCUAAUCCUCGCCAGUGACCUUCAGGAGCCAGGCACCUUCUGAUGCCGGGGCCUGGGAGGGUGGGACAAUCAAUUAUGCCUCGGCCUCCACAGCUGCUGCCGAAUGGAUUUCUCGCUCAGAAAAGCAUGUUCAAAAAGCAUCUAAUGGAACGGAUCAUCAAUUUGUUUGAAUACACAUUUAAUCUGAUUAGGGGGGCCCAGCCACCGGGGCAGCCAGUGCAAGUGAGCCCCAACACGGCCCUGGGGAACCGUGAGUGGGGUGGAGGGGCCCCGCGUGGGGAAGGGGAAGGAAGGGCGUAGGCCCCAAGCCCACCACCAACCAGCUUGGCCCGCUGUACCUUCAGCCAGAAAGUCACACAGAAAAGAAGAAUGAACCAUGCAGAGGCCACAAGGGCUGGGCAGAUGCCUCCUGCUUUUCUACGGCCCCAGCACAGGGCACAGAGCCCGGGGCAAAGAAAAUGCUCAGGAAAUAAGUGAAUGAACACACGAAUGGAGAAUGAAUGGUGAUGAAGCCAAGGGAUGCCGAUCUUGUCACUUCCAGGAGAAGAAUAAUUGACGACUGAAUUGGGUUGAAUGAUGCACUGCCCUCUCCCCCGCCAAAUUCAUGGCCUAACUGGAACCUCAGAACGAGACCCUAUUUGGAAACAGGGUGUUGUAGCUGUAAUUAGUUAAGAGGAGGUCAAACGGGAGUCGGGUGGGCCCUGUGUGACUGGUGUCUUUAUGCGAGAGACAUGGGAACAGAAAUGCAGGGAGAGGAUGGCCAUGUGACGGUGGAGGCGGUGCGUUGACCGCCCAGGGAAGCCACGGAUUGCCAGGAGCCCCCACGAGCUGGAAGAUGCAGGAAGGAUUCUUGCCUCCAGCCUCCAGAGGGAGCGGGGCCCUGCCGACACCUUGGUUUCAGACUUCUGGCCCCCAGAACUGUGAGAAAAUCCAUUUCUGUUUGAGUCACUCAGUUUACGGUACUUUGUUACGGCAGCCCUAGGAGACAGAUGCAAUGCCUCACAGAGACUUGGGUCUGUCAUUGCACAUAAGUCAGCCUGCCAGAGAACAAAGAGCACUAACUAGGAAGUGAGUCUGGAGCCCCAAGUCCUGCCGGUCUAGACCACGACCUUCUUCAGACGUGUCCCCAUGUCCGCAUGUCUGCCAUGCCCCAGGGCCUUUGCUUGUUCCAUUCCCUUUCCCCAGAGAGCCCUUUCUUUCCUUCUUUGCCAGAAAAAUGUAGGUGUUAAAUCUGUGUUAGUUUCUGCCCUGUGUCCCCUCUAAGCUCAAAUGGCCUGUCCUCUGUAACUCUCUUCCUGCUGUCCUCCUCCACAACCUUCUGACUUCUGAGGGUCUUUGCCUCUCUUACAGCAUAGAGGAUGCACAUCACAGCCCCCUGUGUGGUGGCACCCAUGCUGCUCUUCCACUGGAAGACAGGGACAGGGGACCCCUCGCCUCUCCAGCCCCAGAGCCUGGCAGUGAGUCCGGUGUGCAGGAGGGCCCAGAUCCAUGAGUGCAAAAGUGGACACAUAAACUUGCCGUUGAACAUGGCCGGAUCAUCUCCCUCGUGUCGGCAGACCCUGCCGGGGGACCUGGACCUUCCCUUCCAGCUCCGGUGUUGCAAGAUCUGAGUAGUGGUAUGAGUUACGACCUCUCUGGGCCCGGGGCAGGCUUACUCGGAUUCAAACUUGGCUUAGCCACUCGCUAGCUGCGUGACCCCGGGGGCAGCUCCAGAGCCCCUUUGAGUCUCCGUUUCCCCACCUGGGAACUGGGCUGCGGACAGCAGCCUCCUCCUAGGCCUCGUGAGAAGGGUAAGGGCUGAGACCAGUGCCGGGCACAAAUGACCCAUCCUUACGUUUGCUCUGAGCCCUGUCACAGCCAGGGCCUCCCGCUGGAACUGUGCAGGUGAGGAACGCCUAAGCAGCCCCAGCCUUGGGCGGAAAGAAGGGGGGGUUCUCAUUUCCAAUGGGUUUAUCUUGCAAAUAACAGAGGGGAAGGGAGACUUUCCUUACAUUUCGGCUGGAGGGUUAGGAGAUUAAAAUGACACCGUGGAUUAGAAUGCUUUUGCCUAACGGUGCUAUUAUCAUUUUCCUGUAUUCAGAUUCAUUUGAGCUAUAAAAGCGGCGGUAAUAAAAUUUUCACUAACUCCUGGAAUUUCUCCCACGAAGCUCCGUUAUGCUGUGUGGAUGAUGUUUGUCUCCCCCCCCUCCGUGACCCCAGGGCGGGGCACCUGCUUGGCACAAUUCUCCGGCCUUUCAGCUAGGACCUGAGACCCCUGGCCAUGAAGGGACUCGGCAAAGCUCAGCUGUGGGGGUCAGCUGCCCGGACAGGCCUGCGCGGCCCCACGGAGACUCGUUCCACCGGCAUCUGGCACUUCCCCAGGGGACCGUCUUACAGAUUCCUCAGGUGAGCUCUCUCCAUCACGUGGGUACCACCAUCAGCCCGUCUCUAAGCUCUAAAGACAGAGAAACAUCCCACCGGCCCCGAGAAGCCAAGGUACGGAUAUUUUCAAGAACCUACAGCCUGUGGGUCCCCAGUGCCCCAUGAUGGCACCACCAGACACAGGGAACUGAGGCCUGUGCCAGGGCAGUGGACAAGUGGUCCCAAGCUCUGGGUACCAUGCUCUCCCUUGCCUCCUGUUUCCCACUCUGAGAAAGGCCAUCACCUAAAGGAGACUGUCCACUGUGUCUGAGGAAGCGAGGACAGAAGGGGACGGAAGACAGAAGAGGGGGGUCUGACCUAGCACUGGCAUCGACGUCCUAAUACGCACCAGAGAGCUCAGGCGCACGGCAGCAUGAUGGGGGCUCCCCCCGGGCCUCGGCAUCCCACCCAAUUUCAGUGGCCCCCCCUUCCCUUCCCUUCCCUUCCUUCUUCCCUUCCCUUCCCGCUUCCCUUCCCCCUUCCCUUCCCUUCUCUUCCUUCUUCCCUGACAUCAGCGUGGGCCGCUCAGCCCAGGGAGAAGGGAAAGGAGGAUGUUCGGUGAAGACCUCAUCCUCACCAGCCCCCCGUGUUUUCUCACUUAGCCCCCGACCACUUUGGGGGAGACAUCAUUACCAUCCUUUUAUUUCCCUCAGCAAAGCCCAGAGGUGAGCGGAGCGAGGUCACCCCGGAGUCAGGGCCGGGUUUCGAACCCGCGAGGCCUCUGAUGGCCGCUCAGGUCGACGUGGUGUUCGGGCCACGGGAGAGGAGUCCGAUGCCGGGCCCCCGUGGCGGGUGCGGGGGGCGCGGAGGGAAAACCAGAGUGGCGAGUCUGCUGCCUCCACGCAGAGGCCGAGGCAUGGAGCCCGCCCGCCGAAGAAGCACACACACUCAUCAGGCUGGUGACCCCCGUGUCCCGGGGCUUUGCAGCGUGUAACGAAGACCGUGGAGCAGAAAAUUGGAGUUCAAUUUGCCGUCCACGCUGCGUGGCGCCCAGCCCAUUCCAGUCCCUGGCAGCGAAUGGGGCUCCCAGGCCUCUCCAGAGGAGCCUGGGCCUGGCAGAGCAUGCUGGGAAGCAAGCGAGAGAGACGGAGGCAGGAUUCACACCAACGAGACGGGCCAGGUUUAAGCAAGAGCACAUCCAUGGCGCCACGGUUCACACGGACACGGGGUUUGUGUUCCUGACACUGGGCCCCACGCCUUCUAGGUACGAGGUCUGGCCACCGGGCAAAACCCUGGCUGCCGUGGCCUCCCACAAGCUCCAAGUAUCUCGAGUAAGAAGCAUUUGUGGAACUCACCUAGUCUAACCCCUCUGGUUGGCCAAUGGGGAAACUGAGGCAGAG